AGGGCAGCCAAGUCGUGAGGCGGAGCUAAUCCCUUAAAGCCAUUCUCAGUUCGGAUUGUAGGCUGAAACUCGCCUACAUGAAGCUGGAGUUACUAGUAAUCGCAGAUCAGAAUGCUGCGGUGAGUGCGUUCCCGGGUCUUGUACACACCGCCCGUCACACCACGGAAGUUGGGGGCGCCCGAAGCCACUUAGCUAACCCAUUUGGGAAGCGAGUGUCGAAGGUGAAAUCAAUAACUGGGGUGAAGUCGUAACAAGGUAGC
RNAcentral lists this ribosomal RNA (260 nucleotides) under uncultured bacterium. RNAcentral describes it as "partial 16S ribosomal RNA". It matches the Rfam family "Bacterial small subunit ribosomal RNA", at positions 1243 to 1500 of the family's 1533-position model. The record is from RNAcentral.